This 408-nucleotide ribosomal RNA is filed under the name Nosema granulosis. Its description in RNAcentral is "SSU rRNA". It matches the Rfam family "Microsporidia small subunit ribosomal RNA", at positions 1 to 405 of the family's 1311-position model. The record is from RNAcentral. Lineage: Eukaryota; Fungi; Microsporidia; Nosematidae.
CACCAGGUUGAUUCUGCCUGACGUAGACGCUAUACUCUAAGAUUAACCCAUGCAUGUUAUUGAAUAUAAAGAAAAGACGAACAGCUCAGUAACUCUUAUUUUAUUUGAUGUAUUAGGAUUAUAACUAUGUUAAAUUAUAGAUAACAAUAAUACAAUAAGAAUAAGAUCUAUCAGUUAGUUGUUAAGGUAAUGGCUUAACAAGACUAUGACGGAUAACGGUAUUACUUUGUAAUAUUCCGGAGAAGGAGCCUGAGAGAUUGCUACUAAGUCUAAGGAUUGCAGCAGGGGCGAAACUUGACCUAUGAUAUGAUAUUGAGGCAGUUAUGAGUAGUAUUUUUAAUUAUUGUAGUAUUGUAAGUAUAUAUUACAAGAUAAAUCGGAGGGCAAAUCGAGUGCCAGCAGCCGCGG